This 73-nucleotide transfer RNA is filed under the name Sphaerodactylus townsendi. Its description in RNAcentral is "tRNA-Ala". The record is from RNAcentral. Lineage: Eukaryota; Metazoa; Chordata; Lepidosauria; Squamata; Sphaerodactylidae.
GCCAUGGCUCAGUGUUAGAGCAUCUGCUUGGCAUGGAGAAAGACCCAGGUUCAAUCGCUGGCAACUUUAGGUA